This is a long non-coding RNA of Cygnus olor (mute swan), 928 nucleotides long. RefSeq lists it as uncharacterized. The transcript has 3 exons. NCBI's taxonomy places the organism in Eukaryota, Metazoa, Chordata, Aves, Anseriformes, Anatidae. The record is from RefSeq and is a predicted model, not a curated record.
ACAAGGGCUUUCAUCCUUAGCUUCAGGUUCUAAAUUCACGGCAAACAAUGGGCACGUUGCCACGGAGUAAGUUAGCUCAGGCCAGCCAUGCACAGGGAAUGACUUUCUGAGGGAGAUGACUGGGCCUGUACCAGCAGGACCCUCAAAGGGACAGUCACCAUUUGUCACUGAUUCAGAGAGGAACUUCUCACAGCAACUGCCCUCUAAGUGGAGCAGCAGCACCCAGCCAGGGUAAUGCAAAGCCUAGUUUUAACUUCCUUCUCAAUGCCUGCUGCCAAAGCCUCCAGCUGCCUUAGAGAUCCAGGCUCGUGGCAUUUCUUCAACUGAGCAUCAACUCCUGACCACAGGAUGGAGGAAAACCUUCUUGCCCUCCCUCUGCCUUGAGAUAAUAAGUAAGAGGGAAUCAUUUUACAGGACUGUUUUAAACAUCCUUUCAUCUGACCCCUCUUUUUGAGAUGCGCUGUCUGUGAUGAAGCUCUGAGAACGAGACUUUUUAAACAGUCUGCUGAGGUACAGCGUACAAGCUCUGUGAAUGCCAUAUAUACACACGUACAAGUGGGUGUGUGGGUGGGUGUGCGUGUGUAAAUAAAAUGGCCUAGUUUAAAAUGUCUUUAAUAACCAGUAUUUGACAAAUUGAACCAAAUGGGUGCGAGCUCCCCCUGCUGACUCAGAAGCUAAAAUAAAGAAUCCUUUUCAGAAGGCUUUCUUCGCAAAGCCUUUUGAUACUGGCUCAAGGUCAAAGGAGUGGACCAGUGUAAGGAUGUUAAUUUAAGCACAGUUAACAACACAGGCCACAAGCUUGCAGCAAGGACGUUAUGUGCUUUAUUUUUAUUCCACUAGGGUGCUUUUACAGUGGCUACCAAUUCUGAUUUCAGUGAAACUACUCUUGAUUUACAGAGUAUCAGAAUAAAAUCAUUUCAUACAAACU